GAUGAACGCUGGCGGCGUGCCUAAUACAUGCAAGUCGAGCGAACAGACGAGGAGCUUGCUCCUCUGACGUUAGCGGCGGACGGGUGAGUAACACGUGGAUAACCUACCUAUAAGACUGGGAUAACUUCGGGAAACCGGAGCUAAUACCGGAUAACAUGUUGAACCGCAUGGUUCAACAGUGAAAGACGGUCUUGCUGUCACUUAUAGAUGGAUCCGCGCCGCAUUAGCCAGUUGGUAAGGUAACGGCUUACCAAGGCAACGAUGCGUAGCCGACCUGAGAGGGUGAUCGGCCACACUGGAACUGAGACACGGUCCAGACUCCUACGGGAGGCAGCAGUAGGGAAUCUUCCGCAAUGGGCGAAAGCCUGACGGAGCAACGCCGCGUGAGUGAAGAAGGUCUUCGGAUCGUAAAACUCUGUUAUUAGGGAAGAACAAAUGUGUAAGUAACUAUGCACGUCUUGACGGUACCUAAUCAGAAAGCAACGGCUAACUACGUG
This 497-nucleotide ribosomal RNA is filed under the name uncultured bacterium. Its description in RNAcentral is "partial 16S ribosomal RNA". It matches the Rfam family "Bacterial small subunit ribosomal RNA", at positions 28 to 507 of the family's 1533-position model. The record is from RNAcentral.